GGGGUUGUGACUCAGUGGUAGAGUGCUCGCCUACUAUGCAGGAGACCCUGGGUUCUAUCCUCAGCACCA
Molecule: non-coding RNA, 69 nt
Organism: Ictidomys tridecemlineatus (thirteen-lined ground squirrel)
Lineage: Eukaryota; Metazoa; Chordata; Mammalia; Rodentia; Sciuridae
Source: Rfam